This 305-nucleotide ribosomal RNA is filed under the name uncultured bacterium. Its description in RNAcentral is "bacterial SSU rRNA". It matches the Rfam family "Bacterial small subunit ribosomal RNA", at positions 333 to 636 of the family's 1533-position model. The record is from RNAcentral.
AUGUUCCUACGGGGCGCAGCAGUGAGGAAUAUUGGUCAAUGGGCGCGAGCCUGAACCAGCCAAGUCGCGUGAGGGAAGACGGUCCUAUGGAUUGUAAACCUCUUUUGUCGGGGAGCAAAAGACGCCACGCGUGGCGUUCCGAGAGUACCCGAAGAAAAAGCAUCGGCUAACUCCGUGCCAGCAGCCGCGGUAAUACGGAGGAUGCGAGCGUUAUCCGGAUUUAUUGGGCGUAAAGGGAACGCAGGCGGUCUGUUCAGUCAGCGGUCAAAGCCCGGGGCUCAACCACGGCCCGCCGUUGAAACUGG